GCUACUGUGGCUCAGUUGGUAGAGCAGCNNGUAAUCAGCAGGUCGCCGGUUCGAGUCCGGCCAGUAGCUCCA
This 72-nucleotide transfer RNA is filed under the name Oscillospiraceae bacterium. RNAcentral's name for it is "tRNA-Leu". It matches the Rfam family "tRNA". From Rfam's summary of the family: Transfer RNA (tRNA) molecules are approximately 80 nucleotides in length. Their secondary structure includes four short double-helical elements and three loops (D, anti-codon, and T loops). Further hydrogen bonds mediate the characteristic L-shaped molecular structure. tRNAs have two regions of fundamental functional importance: the anti-codon, which is responsible for specific mRNA codon recognition, and the 3' end, to which the tRNAs corresponding amino acid is attached (by aminoacyl-tRNA synthetases). tRNAs cope with the degeneracy of the genetic code in two manners: having more than one tRNA (with a specific anti-codon) for a particular amino acid; and 'wobble' base-pairing, i.e. permitting non-standard base-pairing at the 3rd anti-codon position. The record is from RNAcentral. Lineage: Bacteria; Bacillati; Bacillota; Clostridia; Eubacteriales; Oscillospiraceae.